RNAcentral lists this small nuclear RNA (80 nucleotides) under Rhinolophus ferrumequinum (greater horseshoe bat). Its description in RNAcentral is "U2 spliceosomal RNA (ENSRFEG00010015341.1)". It matches the Rfam family "U2 spliceosomal RNA", at positions 1 to 122 of the family's 192-position model. From Rfam's summary of the family: U2 is a small nuclear RNA (snRNA) component of the spliceosome (involved in pre-mRNA splicing). Lineage: Eukaryota; Metazoa; Chordata; Mammalia; Chiroptera; Rhinolophidae. The record is from RNAcentral.
AUUGCUUCUCGGCCUUUUGGCUAAGAUCAAGUGUAGAAUCUUAUGUUUAUAGAAAAUAUUUUUAAACAAUUUUAAUUUAU